CACUUCUAAGGAAGGCAGCAGGCGCGCAAAUUACCCAAUCCUGACUCAGGGAGGUAGUGACAAGAAAUAACAAUAAACCGGCUUAUGCCGGUUUAAUUGGAAUGAGUACAAUUUAAACAUCUUAACGAGGAACAAUUGGAGGGCAAGUCUGGUGCCAGCAGCCGCGGUAAUUCCAGCUCCAAUAGCGUAUACUAAAGUUGUUGCAGUUAAAAAGCUCGUAGUUGGAUUUCUGUGGGGACGGAGCGGCCGGCCGCAACACGCGGUUCGAGCUAGCGCUUUCCCUACAUCCUGCCGCGAACCGUGCUACCAUUAGUUUGAUGGCGCCGGGGAUCGGCUCGAUUACUUUGAGAAAAAUAGAGUGUUCAAAGCAGGCCACACGCCUUGAAUAAGUUAGCAUGGAAUAAUAACUAAGGACUUCGGUUCUAUUUUGUUGGUGUUCGGGACUGAAGUAAUGAUUGAUAGGGACAGUUGGGGCGGUCUGUAUUCCAAAGCGAGAGGUGAAAUUCUUAGACCUUCGGAAGACAAACAGCUGCGAAAGCGCUCCGCAAGGAUGUUCCCUUUGAUCAAGAACGAAAGUUGGGGGAUCGAAGACGAUCAGAUACCGUCGUAGUCUCAACUAUAAACUAUACCAGCUAGGGAUCGGCCAACGUUAUUCUAUACCGACUUGGUCGGCACCUUAUGAGAAAUCAAAGCAUCUGGGUUCCGGGGGGAGUAUGGACGCAAGGCUGUAACUUAAAGGAAUUGACGGAAGGGCACCACCAGCCGUGGAGCCUGUGGCUUAAUUUGACUCAACACGGGAAAACUUACCAGGUCCAGACAUAGUAAGGAUUGACAGAUUGAUAGCUCUUUCUUGAUUCUGUGGGUGGUGGUGCAUGGCCGUUCUUAGUUGGUGGAGUGAUUUGUCUGGUUAAUUCCGUUAACGAACGAGACCCCAGCCUGCUAAAUAGCGCGCGUGAGCUUUGCUCGCGGCGAGCUUCUUAGAGGGACUAUGAUGCGCGAUAGCACAUGGAAGUUUGGGGCAAUAACAGGUCUGUGAUGCCCUUAGAUGUUCUGGGCCGCACACGGGCUACACUGGCGCCUGCAACGAGCAUAUCAGCUGGCCCGAGAGGGUCUUGGCUAAUCUUUUGAACCGGCGCCGUGCUUGGGAUUGACCUUUGCAAUUGUUGGUCAUGCAACGAGGAAUGCCUUGUAAACGCGAGUCAUCAGCUCGCAUUGAAUACGUCCCUGCCCUUUGUACACACCGCCCGUCGCUCCUACCGAUGAAUGUUCCGAUGAAAUUUUCGGAGAGUGCCUGUGAACUUGGCUCUGCCUUGCGAACGGGAAGCUCAAAGUCACUUAAAUCUGAACAU
Molecule: ribosomal RNA, 1349 nt
Filed under: uncultured marine eukaryote
Lineage: Eukaryota
Description: SSU rRNA
Rfam family: Eukaryotic small subunit ribosomal RNA
Source: RNAcentral